RNAcentral lists this ribosomal RNA (819 nucleotides) under uncultured Planctomycetaceae bacterium. RNAcentral's name for it is "bacterial SSU rRNA". It matches the Rfam family "Bacterial small subunit ribosomal RNA", at positions 53 to 906 of the family's 1533-position model. Lineage: Bacteria; Pseudomonadati; Planctomycetota; Planctomycetia; Planctomycetales; Planctomycetaceae. The record is from RNAcentral.
GCGUGCAGUCGGGGGAUCCCAGCAAUGGGGGAACCGGCGUAAGGGGCAGUAAUGUGUGGGUACCUACCUUUGGGUUCGGGAUAGCCAUCAGAGAUGGUGGGUAAUACCGGAUGACGUCGUGAGACCAAAGAUUUAUCGCCCGAAGAGGGGCCCACAUGAUAUUAGCUAGUUGGUAGGGUAACGGCCUACCAAGGCGAAGAUGUCUAGCGGGUGUGAGAGCACGACCCGCGCCACUCGCACUGAGACACUGGCGAGACACCUACGGGUGGCUGCAGUCGAGGAUCUUCGGCAAUGAGCGCAAGCUUGACCGAGCGACGCCGCGUGAGCGAUGAAGGCCUUCGGGUUGUAAAGCACUUUAGUGGGGGAGAAAAGCCCGCAAGGGUGUGAUCUAUCCCAAAAAUAAGCACGGGCUAAGUUCGUGCCAGCAGCCGCGGUAAGACGAACCGUGCGAACGUUGUUCGGAAUCACUGGGCUUAAAGGGCGCGUAGGCGGGCUGUCAAGUCUGGGGUGAAAUGCCGCGGCUCAACCGUGGAACUGCCUUAGAUACUGACGGCCUCGAGGGAGGUAGGGGCGUGCGGAACUGUAGGUGGAGCAGUGAAAUGCGUUGAUAUCUACAGGAACUCCGGUGGCGGAAGCGGCGCGCUGGACCUCUUCUGACGCUGAGGCGCGAAAGCUAGGGGAGCAAACGGGAUUAGAUACCCCGGUAGUCCUAGCCCUAAACGAUGGGUACUAGAUAGUAGACUAGAUAUGGGUUUACUGUCGAACUAAAGUGCUAAGUACCCCGCCUGGGGAGUAUGGUCGCAAGGCUGAAACUCAAAG